Molecule: unclassified non-coding RNA, 152 nt
Organism: Pongo abelii (Sumatran orangutan)
Lineage: Eukaryota; Metazoa; Chordata; Mammalia; Primates; Hominidae
Rfam family: Metazoan signal recognition particle RNA
About the family: The signal recognition particle (SRP) is a universally conserved ribonucleoprotein. It is involved in the co-translational targeting of proteins to membranes.
Source: Ensembl
GCUGGGCAUGGUGACGUGUACCUACAGUCCCAGCUAUUCGGGAGGCUGAGAUGGGAGGAUCACUUGAGGCUAAGAGUUCAAGGCUGCAGUGAGCCGUAAUGGUGCCGCACACUGCACUCUAGCCUAGACAACAAAGUGAUAUCCCAUCUCUA